Corvus hawaiiensis (hawaiian crow) is the source of this 639-nucleotide long non-coding RNA. RefSeq lists it as uncharacterized. The record is from RefSeq and is a predicted model, not a curated record. Lineage: Eukaryota; Metazoa; Chordata; Aves; Passeriformes; Corvidae. The transcript is spliced from 3 exons.
UCUUGCUGGAACUGAGGAAUUCCAGCUUUUCCUGCCCACUGGGAUUGAGAAUUCCAGCUUUUCCUUGUCCUUUAUCCCACUGGGAUUGAGAAUUCCAGGUUUUUCCUGUGCUUUAUCUCGCUGGAACUGAGGAAUUCCAGCUUUUCCUGCCAACUGGGAUUGAGAAUUCCAGCUUUUUUCUGUCCUUUAUCCCGCUGGGAUUGAGAAUUCCAGCUUUUCCUGCCCACUGGGAUCAAGGAAUUCCAGGUUUCCCUGUCCUUUAUCCUGCUGGGAUUGAGAAUUCCAGGUUUUUCCUGUGCUUUAUCUCGCUGGAACUGAGGAAUUCCAGCUUUUUCCUGCCAACUGGGAUUGAGAAUUCCAAAUUUCCCUGCUCCUUUAUCCCACUGGGAUUGAGAAUUCCAGGUUUCCCUGUCCUUUAUCCCGCUGGGAUUGAGAAUUCCAGGUUUUCCCUGCUCCUUUAUCCCACUGGGAUUGAGAAUUCCAGGUUUCCCUGUCCUUUAUCCCACUGGAACUGAGGAAUUCCAGCUUUUCCUGCCAACUGGGAUUGAGAAUUCCAGGUUUUCCCUGUCCUUUAUCCCACUGGGAUUGAGAAUUCCAGCUUUUCCUGCCCACUGGGAUCAAGGAAUUCCAGGUUUCCCU